This 451-nucleotide ribosomal RNA is filed under the name uncultured bacterium. Its description in RNAcentral is "partial 16S ribosomal RNA". It matches the Rfam family "Bacterial small subunit ribosomal RNA", at positions 354 to 796 of the family's 1533-position model. The record is from RNAcentral.
GUGGGGAAUAUUGCGCAAUGGGGGAAACCCUGACGCAGCGACGCCGUGUGAGGGAAGAAGGCUUUCGGGUCGUAAACCUCUGUCAGAAAGGAAGAACCUCCCAAGUCCGAAUAGGGCUUGGGACUGACGGUACUUUCAAAGGAAGCACCGGCUAACUCCGUGCCAGCAGCCGCGGUAAUACGGAGGGUGCAAGCGUUAAUCGGAAUCACUGGGCGUAAAGCGCGCGUAGGCCGCUUUGUAAGUCGGACGUGAAAGCCCUCGGCUCAACCGGGGAACUGCGUUCGAUACUGCGAGGCUUGAGUCCUGGAGAGGGUGGCGGAAUUCCGGGUGUAGGAGUGAAAUCCGUAGAUAGCCGGAGGAACACCGGUGGCGAAGGCGGCCACCUGGACAGGUACUGACGCUGAAGCACGAAAGCGUGGGGAGCAAACAGGAUUAGAAACCCCAGUAGUCC